GCCUCGUACCCGGAGGACUCCUGCGGCAGCUGUUCCCUUCGGACGCCCGCCCGCUGCUGGGGCUCGACGUGGGCUGCAAUUCCGGGGAGGAGGCUGCAUCCUGAGCAAGCCCAGCGGAGGGACCCUCCAUGCAGAGGGGCUGCCUGGCCCCACACAUCCUGCCCCCCUCCUGGCGUUCCCAACCCUCUUCCUGCGUCAGAGCUCCCGGUGUUUGGUGCAUCCCUCCCACUGCUCCGGCGCAGAGAAGCCCACCUCACCUGCUUUCCUCUCCUUCCACCAGCUUCCUGUAAGUGAGGAUCUCCAAAUCCAGGGCCAGCUUGAUGUUCAUCAGCUCCUGAUACUCUUUCACCAGAUAUCCUCAGCAUUUAGUUUCCAAUGUCCGAAAAGCUUCUCAAAGGAGGAAGCUUUGGAAUGUGUAAAAUCAAGAAAACAGACUGCAUCAUGGCCUAUCUUAAAUCCCAAUCCCAGUCUGUCCCAGCCUGCCAAAGCAGCUUCAACGCAUUGCCAGGCGCUGACAUAAUCUCCCAUGUGGAGCAAACAACGCUCCUGACUGAAAGGGGAGCAGGCCAAGCCAGCCCGACGCGCUCACCGCACGGCUCCAGAAGGACCUGGCAGCCAGGAGGUGACUCACAUGGAGAUGGAGCCUUCUACAAACACAUCACAGCAUUUAUCUCCUUCAAGCUUAACCAGCAUCUUGCAAACUUUCCCCCCUCAUACAUGGAGCCACGUUGGACACCUACUUGCUUCGGAAGUUAUCCAUGGUGCUCAGGACCUCUGUCAACUCCGACUCGAGAUUUUCCUGCUCAUAGUUGAGUGCCUGCAUCUCUUGAUUCAUUUUGCUCAUGUACUGAUCGUAAAUGGCCUUCAUGUCUGAUUCGGAGUGGGAAUUGUCUUGAUCCUUCAGGAAGUUCCACCGUGUCGUCAGGAUCUUGUUCUGUUGCUCCAAGCGUUGGACCUGAUAAAGAGAUUGCAGAGACCUCAGUAAUUCUGACAGCUCAGCAAAAUGCCUCUGGUCUGGAGACCUCUGCAGCAAUGAAAUGUUGCUGAGCUUAGCUGAGAUCUCCGGGUAAGAGCAAAAAAUCCCCUGAAGAUCCAGAGCAGAGGAUGAAUACAGGGGCUACAAAGGUUUUAUGCAUUUCAUGCUGCUUAAUUUCUUAACAGAUCACAUUCAUGUGAAAAUGAAGAAGCAUCUCAUGUUAAGUCACUGAAAAAAUAAAAGCUGAUCUACACUGGUCCCCUUUGCCUCCAAAUAUAUUGAGAUAAAGGC
Molecule: RNA transcript, 1267 nt
Organism: Lagopus leucura (white-tailed ptarmigan)
Lineage: Eukaryota; Metazoa; Chordata; Aves; Galliformes; Phasianidae
Gene: BCDIN3D
Gene name: BCDIN3 domain containing RNA methyltransferase
Exons: 6
Source: RefSeq, a predicted model, not a curated record